UACGUAGGGCGCAAGCGUUGUCCGGAAUUAUUGGGCGUAAAGAGCUCGUAGGCGGCCAGUUGCGUUCCGCUGUGGAAAUCCCGGGGCUUAACCCCGGGCGUGCAGUGGAUACGGGCUGGCUAGAGGCAGGCAGGGGAGAACGGAAUUCCCGGUGUAGCGGGUGAAAUGCGCAGAUAUCGGGAGGAACACCGGUGGCGAAGGCGGUUCUCUGGGCCUGUACUGACGCUGAGGAGCGAAAGCGUGGGGAGCAAACAGG
This 256-nucleotide ribosomal RNA is filed under the name uncultured bacterium. Its description in RNAcentral is "partial 16S ribosomal RNA". It matches the Rfam family "Bacterial small subunit ribosomal RNA", at positions 524 to 776 of the family's 1533-position model. The record is from RNAcentral.